This 468-nucleotide ribosomal RNA is filed under the name uncultured bacterium. RNAcentral's name for it is "partial 16S ribosomal RNA". It matches the Rfam family "Bacterial small subunit ribosomal RNA", at positions 28 to 507 of the family's 1533-position model. The record is from RNAcentral.
GACGAACGCUGGCGGCGUGCUUAACACAUGCAAGUCGAACGGAAAGGCCCUGCUUUUGUGGGGUGCUCGAGUGGCGAACGGGUGAGUAACACGUGAGUAACCUGCCCUUGACUUUGGGAUAACUUCAGGAAACUGGGGCUAAUACCGGAUAGGAGCUCCUGCUGCAUGGUGGGGGUUGGAAAGUUUCGGCGGUUGGGGAUUGACUCGCGGCUUAUCAGCUUGUUGGUGGGGUAGUGGCUUACCAAGGCUUUGACGGGUAGCCGGCCUGAGAGGGUGACCGGCCACAUUGGGACUGAGAUACGGCCCAGACUCCUACGGGAGGCAGCAGUGGGGAAGAUUGCACAAUGGGCGGAAGCCUGAUGCAGCAACGCCGCGUGCGGGAUGACGGCCUUCGGUUUGUAAACCGCUUUCGCCUGUGACGAAGCGUGAGUGACGGUAAUGGGUAAAGAAGCACCGGCUAACUACGUG